Molecule: unclassified non-coding RNA, 392 nt
Filed under: Hevea brasiliensis (rubber tree)
Lineage: Eukaryota; Viridiplantae; Streptophyta; Magnoliopsida; Malpighiales; Euphorbiaceae
Source: RNAcentral
GUUUUUUUAAAUUGCUGAAAAAUUGAACUUUUUUAGGUGUAUUUUGCUAGUUGUGCAGGAAUGUCGUAGUGUAAUGAUGAUCAUAAUCUGUUUGGUUGAUUGGUUGUUGCUGAAAUUAGAGAAGAUGGCAAUGGAGACACUUGGGUUCUGAUUUAAAGGCACUAUAUUGGGCUAGAUUUGAUGCCCCUGAAGUUUAGCUUGCAAGUGCUCCUUUGAUGAUGCCUUAACCAGUUAGGUUUAGACUUUCUAGCGGCUAGUUAUUUGAUAAGGGUCCUUUAGGAUCUUAGAGUGAUGAUAGUUUUGGCUUUCGUUUGGUGGUACAUUUGGUAUUUUCAUGACCUUUCAUUGCAAGUGUGAUGUUUCAUUUUCUUUUUGUAUUGUUUUUGUAGAAC